RNAcentral lists this unclassified non-coding RNA (211 nucleotides) under fungal sp. RNAcentral describes it as "partial internal transcribed spacer region". The stretch from base 1 to 46 matches the Rfam family "Eukaryotic small subunit ribosomal RNA", at positions 1786 to 1831 of the family's 1831-position model. The record is from RNAcentral. Lineage: Eukaryota; Fungi.
AAGUCGUAACAAGGUUUCCGUAGGUGAACCUGCGGAAGGAUCAUUAACACGUAUCCAAACGUUAAACCCCCCCCGUGAACCUUCAUCGUGCUCUAGUGGGCCACAGAGCUUUGCCAAAGGGUCCCCAUGCCCCUUCCUUCUGCCGAUUUCACACAUUUUCAAUUAUGGAUGGGGUAAAACCGAACAACUGUUAUAUGAUAUCUUGGUUCUC